Molecule: long non-coding RNA, 556 nt
Filed under: Sinocyclocheilus anshuiensis
Lineage: Eukaryota; Metazoa; Chordata; Actinopteri; Cypriniformes; Cyprinidae
Description: lncRNA (ENSSANG00000018588.1)
Source: RNAcentral
CGUUAAUUGCAUGACACACUCCAGCAACAGGGCAUAUAGCUUUGACAACAACAAAUGAAGUUGUCACAACCAAAACAAGAAGAACCACCAGCCAGCCAACUUUGAUGAGCACAACAAAAGAGACGGAGUCUAUUACAACAACCAAUGAGACAACAACCAGCUACACAAGCAGAGAAUAUAUGACAACAACAUCGUCACAUACGCUGUCAGGCUCUUUCACUACAACAACAGGAAGAAAUACAGUGGCAGCCAUUUCUAAUGGUUAUACAUCAAAAGUAGGUGGAGUUACAGGCAUAAUUCUCCUUUGCCUGGUGGCAGCAGUAUUCAUUUUCUUGUGGUUAAGACAUAGAAAUCAUAGAAACCAGAUUGUAUAUCACCCCAAACCAGAUCCCUGCACUUCCUACAUACCUUUACCAGUCUGUGCAUCUGAACACAGUUCGGCUCAAUCAAACAAAGCAGAUGAAAACUCCACAGAAGCCUCUGUCACUGACAAAAAUCCAGGUGCGGACACUUGUGAUGAGCUACUCCCACAAACAGACUCCUGAUAAGCCUUGUU